Molecule: ribosomal RNA, 253 nt
Filed under: uncultured bacterium
Lineage: Bacteria
Description: partial 16S ribosomal RNA
Rfam family: Bacterial small subunit ribosomal RNA
Source: RNAcentral
GACGAACCGUACGAACGUUAUUCGGAAUCACUGGGCUUAGAGGGUGCGUAGGCGGCGCAGUAAGUUGGGUGUGAAAUCCCUCGGCUUAACCGAGGAAUUGCGCCCAAAACUACUGUGCUCGAGGGAGGUAGAGGUGAGCGGAACUUAGGGUGGAGCGGUGAAAUGCGUUGAUAUCCUAAGGAACACCGGUGGCGAAAGCGGCUCACUGGACCUCUUCUGACGCUGAGGCACGAAAGCUAGGGUAGCAAACGGG